This 233-nucleotide long non-coding RNA is filed under the name Elaeis guineensis (African oil palm). RNAcentral's name for it is "long non-coding RNA (EGUI_LNC045483)". The record is from RNAcentral. Lineage: Eukaryota; Viridiplantae; Streptophyta; Magnoliopsida; Arecales; Arecaceae.
GAAUGGAUUGAUUACUGUCCUUUGUGACGAUCUUUUGAUCGAAAAUAUUUAGAAAUUAACCACUAAUUAAUGUAUGUCUCAAAUUUUCAACACUUUGAGAAUAUACAAAAAUCAUCUUUAUUAAUUUUUAAGAUAAAUCAUGGACACAUAAAUAUGAUUGGAAUAAAAAAAAUUAUUGAUAAUAAAAAUAUUAUAAGUACAAGAUUAAAUCUUGAAAUUACAAAAUAUGUCAG